GAUGAAGAACGUAGCAAAAUGCGAUACUUGGUGUGAAUUGCAGAAUCCCGUGAACCAUCGAGUUUUUGAACGCAAGUUGCGCCCGAAGCCUUUUGGCCGAGGGCACGUCUGCCUGGGCGUCACGCAUCGCGUCGCCCCCCACAACUCUCCGUAAAGGGAGCUUGUGUUUUGGGGGCGGAUAUUGGUCUCCCGUGCUCAUGGCGUGGUUGGCCGAAAUAGGAGACCCUCCGGUGGACGCACGAACUAGUGGUGGUCGUAAAAACCCUCGUCUUUUGUUUCGUGCCGUUAGUCGCGAGGGAAACUCUUUAAAAACCCAAAUGUGUCGUCUCUUGACGGCGCUUCGACCGCGACCCCAGGUCAGGCGGGACUACCCGCUGAGUUUAAGCAUAUCAAUAAGCGGAGGA
Molecule: unclassified non-coding RNA, 404 nt
Filed under: soil metagenome
Description: partial contains 5.8S ribosomal RNA, internal transcribed spacer 2, and large subunit ribosomal RNA
Rfam family: 5.8S ribosomal RNA (bases 1-122)
Source: RNAcentral